Long non-coding RNA from Amphiprion ocellaris (clown anemonefish), 904 nucleotides. The record is from Ensembl. NCBI's taxonomy places the organism in Eukaryota, Metazoa, Chordata, Actinopteri, Pomacentridae.
AUUAGUUUGUGUGGUUAAAAGUGGUAUUGCACUUCCUCAACUGAAUGAAUUUGCUUAAGACUACUAAAAGAGGAAGACGUGCCAUCAAAUCGGCAGUCAUGGGACGUAUUUCCCCCAUGGAGGUCUUCAGCUUCAGUGCACACAGGAUGAGUCAUCGCCUGAUGCUGAUUUGUAGAUGGUACUCCAUGUGACCCUCGGAUCAUCUCGGGGUAUUCUGCACGCUGUUUGCAAAUGUGCACCGCUUUGAUUUCUCUGACCCAACAAGGAGCACUGGGAUUGGUGUGCGCUGCUGGAAUGCUAAUAUGUUCCUGGAAAGGGAGACGCUGUCAGCCUGUUGGCAGACAAGAGGAGAUCAAGCUGACGAGUCACAGUGAUACACUUAGGGGCCCUAUUCAUGUCUGCCCCCGCGACACACACUGGGCCCAUUGUGGCGAGGAAUGUCUCCUUUCAGGGCCUGAAGCUGCCUGUGAAAGCACGUCAAUAAUCCCGAGUCAGUGGGUGCUUCACAAUGCUGCUGAGACCAUCCCACCGACCAGACCACUGUGGAGAUGGGCCCCAGCUCUGCUCCGCUCCGUGGAAAAGUGACCGGGACGGUUGAAAGAGGGGGCGGCUGAAUGGAUGAAGUAAUUAAUCUGGUGCAUGCUGAUAAAUAAACAGCUCCACAAAGGUGAGACCACUUUCCCAAGAAGAAAGGAGCUAAUCAGUAUUGAAGCUGUGUGCGAUCUCUCUUCAUUUAUAACUCCACAUACCACACCGAAUAUCUGGAGAGCUGCUUUAUUGCUUUGCACAGCUCCCUGUUGUUUUCACACUGCAGGCCUCCAAAAGGCGAGUGAACACGGCUUGUCCUCUCAGGAAGUAUCAAGCUUCUGGUGUACAGCCGAGGCAGAAACCAGCAUCGGCCCGC